AAUCAAUCACCCUAGCUCUACUAAUCACGUUGCCACAGCAUCGUACCACACACCACUCAUCACUUCUCGAUCGAUCCACACUGAUCCAACACACAUUUCACCGGCGGACAGUAGCUCGACUUCUCCCUGCGUACGUAUCUUCUUCUAUAUAUACCCAAGAACCCAGCCACAUCACACCACGUCGUCACACGCAAACCACACGAUCUCUUAGCUCGAGUAGCCGCCGUCGGCGUCGCACGCACGCAAGUGAACCACACAAAAUUCGGUCGCGAUCGAUCGGCAAGCUAGCUAGUAGUUAGCAGGUUGUGCCAUGGCAGCUCGGCGUAGUGGUGCGGUGGUGGCAGCGUUGAUGGUGGUGGCGGCGGCGCUGGUCGGGCUCGCUGGCGCCGACUUCGCGGCGGACAGGGCGGAGUGCGCGGACAAGCUGAUGGGGCUGGCGACGUGCCUGACGUACGUGCAGCUGGCGGCGACGGCGCGGUCGCCCACGCCGGACUGCUGCUCCGGGUUCCGGCAGGUGCUGGCCGCAAGCAAGAAGUGCCUGUGCGUGCUGGUCAAGGACCGCGACGAGCCCACCCUGGGGAUCAAGUUCAACGUCACCCGCGCCAUGAACCUCCCCUCCGCCUGCAACAUCCCCGCCACCUUCUCCGACUGCCCCAAGAUCCUCAACAUGUCGCCGGACUCCAAGGAGGCCGAGAUCUUCAAGCAGUACGGGAUCGAGCACGAGGGCAAGAACGCCACCGCCGGCGGCGCCGCCACCGGUAAAUUAUACAUGCUCCUCUGGCCACUUAACUAGCAUAUAUAUAUAUUCUCGGAUCGAUCGAGCUACAUUCUUGGUCAUCGUUUCUUCGGAUGAAAUACUAGCUAAUUCAUCAUGUUAAUUAGGGAACGCCUAAUCUUCCUCUCCCUUGUCAAAUAAAUAACCACAUCCUUCCCCCUUUGUCUUCAUCUCGCCACCGCCGUCGUCGUCAUCUACCCACGCCUCCGACGCUGGCCUAAUACUCAUCUGCCACGGCGGCACCGCCGCCACCCCUCCCCGUCCGCCGUGUCGCCUCCUUGGCCGAGCUGCCGCUUAGACCACCCUGCACGCAUACCCGAACCUGUCAGUCUCUGCCUCGCCUCCGUCAACGACACGCGCCGCCGUCUCUGACUCGGGACUGUGCUUGCUCACUAAAAUCGACUGAAGUGAACUUUUCCAGUCGCCUAAGAAAUAGCAAACGCGUGUCAAUUAUACACGCGCAUGCGUAGCAUGAGGCCGGAAGAACGUACACCACACGGCACACUCUACACACUGCACACAGCACAUGGCAUGAGCAGGAGCAGGCGAGCAGCUAGCUUCCCGCUGCUCGGUUGCACGAUUGCGACGUGAACGAGCGUGACCGCGAGCGACCACGCGACUCUGCAGUUAUGCUCGAGAAAGAUACUGGCCACAGUGCGCAUUCAUUUCUAGCCGGAGGUUAGUGGUGGCGGGAUCAGUCAAUGCCCUGCAUGGUAUGCAUGGCCCGCCUAACACCGGACGUGUCCUGACAGUCGUGUACCCUCCGGCCGGUGUUCGGUGCCUGGUCUUAACUGAACUUGGUGGGUAACCAUAACUGUACCUAAAUCUCCGUUUGAAAGAAAAAGGAAACUGUACCUAAAUCUGUGGUGCUUUUGCAGUGCUAAAACUAGUAUCCAGUUCAAAACUGCACCUAAAUCUGUGGUGCUUUUGCAUGGUUAGUUAAACAAACACUAAUGGUGUAUAUCAGUUCAGCACUGUACAAAACAAGCACUUGUGAAUAACUUAACAUUGUCGUACGCCUUGGCCGUGGCUGGUUGCAGGUACCUCCGGCGCGAAGAGCGCCGACGCGGCGGCCGGUGCAGGGAGGCACGCGGUGGUCUUCGCCGUCGUCGUCUCGGCGCUGCUCGCCUCCCUCUUUGUUCUCGCGUGAUGAUAGGCUGCAGUGGCAGCAGGGAGGGAGAUCAGAAGUCGGGACACCCGGCGGUGUCCGUAUGAUUGGGCUGGACUGGGCUGUGCAAUUUUCAGCCUGGGCCUUAAGUUUGGUCAAGCAGAGGGCCCAUUGAUUGCUGUGUAGUGAGCGAGUGAGUGAGUGAAUUCUAAGAGAAGGAAAAGUGUACUGUAGUGAGUGAGUUGCUUGCCUCUCCGGUUCCUGUUUAGUCCCUUUCUUGUUCUCUUUUAUUUUUCCGAAUAGUGAGUUGACCGUCGGAUCAGUUGAUGUUGGAAGCUUACAAUUGUCCUACCGAAAUUUCUCUUCCUUUUCCUUCCAUUUUCUGGAGCAAGAGUGUGUGUAAUUAAUAUGGGUACUUCAUAUAUUUUUAAAUGACAUGUGUAUUUUACAGUGAUGUGCUGUUACAUGC
This 2352-nucleotide ribosomal RNA is filed under the name Triticum aestivum (bread wheat). RNAcentral's name for it is "partial small subunit ribosomal RNA". Lineage: Eukaryota; Viridiplantae; Streptophyta; Magnoliopsida; Poales; Poaceae. The record is from RNAcentral.